GUGGGUAGGGUGGCACAUACCUAUAAUCCUGCUACCAAGGAGGACUGAGGCUGGUGGAUUGCUUGAGUUUGGGAGUUCUGAGUUAUAGCCGGUUCAUUGUAUUGAGAGUCUGCACUAAGUUCAGCACCAAGAUGGGGAAUGCCCAGGAGCUGGGCUAUCAGGCUGCCUAAGGUCUUGUCAAUUGAACUAGGUUAGAAAUGGAGUAGGUUAAAUCAUCCAUGCUCAUCAGUAGUGGGGAUUAAGGUGGUCACUGUGCUUCCAGCCUGAAUGAGACAGGGAAACUUUGCA
This 288-nucleotide signal recognition particle RNA is filed under the name Phascolarctos cinereus (koala). Its description in RNAcentral is "Metazoan signal recognition particle RNA (ENSPCIG00000005626.2)". It matches the Rfam family "Metazoan signal recognition particle RNA". From Rfam's summary of the family: The signal recognition particle (SRP) is a universally conserved ribonucleoprotein. The record is from RNAcentral. Lineage: Eukaryota; Metazoa; Chordata; Mammalia; Diprotodontia; Phascolarctidae.